GUGGGGAAUCUUGCGCAAUGGGCGAAAGCCUGACGCAGCCAUGCCGCGUGAAUGAUGAAGGUCUUAGGAUUGUAAAAUUCUUUCACCGGGGACGAUAAUGACGGUACCCGGAGAAGAAGCUCCGGCUAACUUCGUGCCAGCAGCCGCGGUAAUACGAAGGGGGCUAGCGUUGCUCGGAAUUACUGGGCGUAACGGGCGCGUAGGCGGACAGCUUAGUCAGAGGUGAAAGCCAAGGGCUCAACCUUGGAAUUGCCUUUGAUACUGGCUGUCUGGAUUUUGGGAGGGGUGAGUGGAACUGCGAGUGUAGAGGUGAAAUUCGUAGAUAUUCGGAAGAACACCAGUGGCGAAGGCGACUCACUGGCCCAAUACUGACGCUGAGGCGCGAAAGCGUGGGGAGCAAACAGGAUUAGAAACCCUUGUAGUCC
This 425-nucleotide ribosomal RNA is filed under the name uncultured bacterium. Its description in RNAcentral is "partial 16S ribosomal RNA". It matches the Rfam family "Bacterial small subunit ribosomal RNA", at positions 354 to 796 of the family's 1533-position model. The record is from RNAcentral.